GUUUUUUAGCUCAGGGUGCUUG
RNAcentral lists this non-coding RNA (22 nucleotides) under Mus musculus (house mouse). The record is from RNAcentral. Lineage: Eukaryota; Metazoa; Chordata; Mammalia; Rodentia; Muridae.